This 107-nucleotide small RNA is filed under the name Shewanella oneidensis MR-1. Lineage: Bacteria; Pseudomonadati; Pseudomonadota; Gammaproteobacteria; Alteromonadales; Shewanellaceae. The record is from RNAcentral.
ACUGGUAAUCUGACGUUGUUAAAGUGCUCCUGAGUUUGCAAGCACGACAUUGCUCACACACUCUUUUGUGGCCGGAUUCAUCAUCCGGCUUUUUUUUGCCUGUUAUU